AUCACAUCUCAAAGAUAGAAGUUGAAACAAUUCCAACAGUACCUGGGAAGGAGGUCAAGGCAAGUACUUUGAGUGAUCCAGACCUUGACUCCUCUGAUGUCCAGGAGCCUUGCUUAAUGCCUGCAAACACCUACAAUGGCACUUAAUAUAACAUUUACCAAAGAGUUAGCUGGAUGUCCAAUUAAACAGAGCACCCCACUAACCACACCCAUUAUCAUACCAGAAAUCAAGGUGCAUCUGGAGGACGACAUCUCAUCAGAAGACAAGGGUGACCUGGAGGAUACUGCAGAAGAGGAGAUGGGAAAGUGACUCCAGGUGCAGUAGAGGCCCAGCUGAAAAAAAAUAGCACAGCUGAUAGCAGGAAGAGGUCAGAACAUGACUAUACAACAGAAGAGGAAGAAGAUAAGAAGGCAGCUCCAGUUAUUUUUAAGG
Long non-coding RNA from Macrobrachium nipponense, 432 nucleotides. RefSeq lists it as uncharacterized. The transcript is spliced from 3 exons. The record is from RefSeq and is a predicted model, not a curated record. Lineage: Eukaryota; Metazoa; Arthropoda; Malacostraca; Decapoda; Palaemonidae.